Chlorocebus sabaeus (green monkey) is the source of this 983-nucleotide long non-coding RNA. RefSeq lists it as uncharacterized. NCBI's taxonomy places the organism in Eukaryota, Metazoa, Chordata, Mammalia, Primates, Cercopithecidae. The record is from RefSeq and is a predicted model, not a curated record.
GAGUAAGACUCUGUCUCGAAAAAAAAAAAAAAAAAAAUAGACUUUGUGGAAAUAAUGGCCCCCAGAGAAAACUUACAAAGACAGAAACUUUUCUUAUUUAAUUUGAUGUGGACAAAAAAAAAAAAAUGAAUGAAAGCAGUAUCAAAAAUAAAUUCAUGAAAUGUACUCAUGAAAAAUAAUUUUAGUAAGAUAGAAAUAAAGAUGAUUAAAAUACUACUAAGCAGAAAGUUGAUCCAAGAAUUAAAAUGACUUAAUUCUACCAGUGAAAUCAUGUCUUUUUCAUUCAGGAAAACUCACCAACACUAGUAUAAUUCUGGGACAAUGUUUGUAUUUAUGAACAUUGAGUUAAGACAAUUUCUGGGUCACUACAUUUUGAUUGAAUUCAGCAAUUGACAGUCAGAAAUUGCACCACUCAUUUACUGGGCAAUAACACUAUACAACUACUUAUUAGAAAAGGAACUUUUGGCUAAAAUCUUUUUCUGAACCCAAGAGAAUGGCAAGGAUUUAUCCAUUUCUUCUGGGUAGCUAGUUAGAUUCUGAGAGAAGCUGCAAUGUGAUGUGCUCCUGACAUGAGACCAUUCCCAAUGGCAAGGACAGCAACCUCACUCCACGACCUGGAAGCAUGCAGAAAAGACUGCCUUCUUCAAAGGCAUUUGGAGCUACAUACAGAAGGAAGACUACCUGAAGAUCCUGUGAGAAGACAGCCAUCUAUGAGCCGAGAGAGGGGCCUCAGAAGAAGCCAACUCUGCUACGCCUUGGUCUUGAACUUCCAGUCUCCAGAACUGUGAGAAGAUAAAUUUCUGCUGUUUGAGCCACACAGUAUGUGGUACUGUUAGGCAGCCUUAAUAAACUAAUACAGGAACUAUAAAAGUAACUUAUUUUUAUAUUAGGGCCUAUCAUUGGUGAGCUAUCAACUUUGUUACUUUGAAAAUCUGACUAUGCUUUCAAUGAGAUUAUUAUAUCGUUUCAAAUAUGUAACAUAU